AUACGUAGGGGGCGAGCGUUGUCCGGAAUGAUUGGGCGUAAAGGGCGCGUAGGCGGCGCGGUAAGUCUGGAGUGAAAGUCCUGCUUUCAAGGUGGGAAUUGCUUUGGAUACUGCCGCGCUUGAGUGCAGGAGAGGUUAUCGGAAUUCCCGGUGUAGCGGUGAAAUGUGUAGAGAUCGGGAGGAACACCAGUGGCGAAGGCGGGUAACUGGACUGCAACUGACGCUGAGGCGCGAAAGUGUGGGGAGCAAACAGGAUUAGAUACCCUGGUAGUCCACACUGUAAACGAUGAAUGCUAGGUGUAAGAGGUAUCGACCCCUUUUGUGCCGGAGUCAACACAAUAAGCAUUCCGCCUGGGGAGUACGGCCGCAAGGUUGAAACUCAAAGGAAUUGACGGGG
RNAcentral lists this ribosomal RNA (397 nucleotides) under uncultured bacterium. Its description in RNAcentral is "partial 16S ribosomal RNA". It matches the Rfam family "Bacterial small subunit ribosomal RNA", at positions 523 to 918 of the family's 1533-position model. The record is from RNAcentral.